CUACGGAGGGUGCAAGCGUUAUUCGGAAUCACUGGGCGUAAAGGACACGUAGGCGGGAAGCCAAGUCUGAUGUGAAAUCCUACAGCUUAACUGUAGAACUGCAUUGGAAACUGGUUACCUAGAGUAUGGGAGGGGGAGAUGGAAUUAGUGGUGUAGGGGUAAAAUCCGUAGAUAUCACUAGGAAUACCUAAAGCGAAGGCGAUCUCCUGGAACAUUACUGACGCUAAGGUGUGAAAGCGUGGGGAGCAAACGGGAUUAGAAACCCUAGUAGUCC
Molecule: ribosomal RNA, 274 nt
Filed under: uncultured bacterium
Lineage: Bacteria
Description: partial 16S ribosomal RNA
Rfam family: Bacterial small subunit ribosomal RNA
Source: RNAcentral